CUGCCUGGGGGCCCUCUUCCCGUCUCCCCCGCCCCCUGGGGAGGUUCUGUGCGGCGUCCACGGGGUCACGGGGCUGCUGGCCGGAGGGCUGGCGAGGACCCGAGUUUGGCCAGGUUAUCAAGUUUCGUGGUCAGCCACCUUCGCCCCUGACCAGAGCUGUCUUUCCAAAACAGAACAUUCAGUCACCGCCCGUCCCUGUGCUCAGCUGUCCUUGUGCUCCUGACCUCGCUUCCUGCCCACCCGCCCGUUUGUUUUUUUCCUCCCCACCCCCUAGUAUCCUUGUCUCUUACUGACAUCUCGCGAAGAUGACCAGGGCAGGCAAGACAGAGUCAGAGAGAAAGAGAAGCUGAGAGGCCGAGACGGGAGAGAAUCGGAGAGACUGUCAGGCACUGACGGAUCAAGACAGAGGACGUGUGCCCAAGACCUCGGCUCCUGUAUCUUUGUUCUCCAGCAUCUGUUGCUGCUCGACACAGAGGAGGAGUGCUGGCGUGUUACUUACUGAGCGCUUACCAUAUGUCGUGCCUCUGGGUUUCAUCUGGAAGUGGGAAGAAGUCUGACAUGCCGACCCUGACUCAGAGUGUGGUCAGGGUCAGACACGACGGUGCUACGUCAUCAGUGGGUCUCCUUGGUGGAAGCUGGGUGCACUCCGAAGAGCAAAGGUUUUGGAGAUACACAGUGGGUUUGUGUCCCGAUCCUUCUCUGUGUGGCCUCAAGCAAAUUGCUUGACCCCUCUCUCCAAACCUAGACUCCAAACCCAGAUUUGCUCAUCCUACCUGGUAGGAUUGUUGCCAGCCCAUGCUUAUGAAAUGCAAGGCCCAGGCCUGGAUGUGACUGACAGAUACCGAGGUGGGCCUCAGCUUGUAAGGCUGGCAGAGCCUCUUAAUUUUCCAUCCCUGCCUUUCAAUGCGACGCAAGCUUCCUGCAGUGAGGGCCACAAACCAGGGAAGAGCUGGAGUCGGCGAAUCCAGCGCAUCUGGAUUCAGCUGUUACGCCUGCACCCAAGCUGCGAGAGAGGCUGCGAAAGUGAGUUUUCUUGUGUCUGCCGUGGGGAGGCGUGGGCUCCCCAGGUUGACGCUCUGCACACAAAUCUGCCCUGAGACACGGUGCAGGGGGAAGGGGGUCUGGAAAGGCAGACGGAAGACAUGGGUGUCUCACCCCAUCCGGAAGAGGAGUUCCGUCCCAUGCUGUUUACAUGGGACUCUAUGCAACAUAUUUAUUCAUUUAUUUUCCACUCUGUUCUCUCAACGCUGCUAUUGUCAGUUUCAUGAGGGGAACUUCUGUGUCCUCAGGGACUGA
Molecule: long non-coding RNA, 1296 nt
Filed under: Bos indicus x Bos taurus (hybrid cattle)
Lineage: Eukaryota; Metazoa; Chordata; Mammalia; Artiodactyla; Bovidae
Description: lncRNA (ENSBIXG00000006010.1)
Source: RNAcentral